CCCUUAGAUGUUCUGGGCUGCACGCGUGCUACAAUGGCGUUUCCAGCAAGUCUGCGAACCCGAGAGGGCCAGCGGAUCUUCGAAUUGGCGUCGUGAUCGGGACGGUCGAUUGCAAUUAUUUGACUCAAACGAGGAAUUCCUUGUAAUCGCGAUUCAUCAUAUCGCGCUGAAUACGUCCCUGCCCUUUGUACACACCGCCCGUCGCUCCUACCGAUUGAGCGAUCCGGUAAAUGUUUUGGAUUGGUGCCGGGGCGGCUAGCUGCCGGUCGCUACGAAAUUUUGUGAACCUUAUCGCUUAGAGGAAGGAAAAGUCGUAACA
This 319-nucleotide ribosomal RNA is filed under the name uncultured eukaryote. RNAcentral describes it as "partial 18S ribosomal RNA". It matches the Rfam family "Eukaryotic small subunit ribosomal RNA", at positions 1470 to 1796 of the family's 1831-position model. The record is from RNAcentral.